GAUGAACGCUGGCGGCGUGCCUAAUACAUGCAAGUCGAGCGAACGGACGAGAAGCUUGCUUCUCUGAUGUUAGCGGCGGACGGGUGAGUAACACGUGGAUAACCUACCUAUAAGACUGGGAUAACUUCGGGAAACCGGAGCUAAUACCGGAUAAUAUUUUGAACCGCAUGGUUCAAAAGUGAAAGACGGUCUUGCUGUCACUUAUAGAUGGAUCCGCGCUGCAUUAGCUAGUUGGUAAGGUAACGGCUUACCAAGGCAACGAUGCAUAGCCGACCUGAGAGGGUGAUCGGCCACACUGGAACUGAGACACGGUCCAGACUCCUACGGGAGGCAGCAGUAGGGAAUCUUCCGCAAUGGGCGAAAGCCUGACGGAGCAACGCCGCGUGAGUGAUGAAGGUCUUCGGAUCGUAAAACUCUGUUAUUAGGGAAGAACAUAUGUGUAAGUAACUGUGCACAUCUUGACGGUACCUAAUCAGAAAGCCACGGCUAACUACGUGCCAGCAGCCGCGGUAAUACGUAGGUGGCAAGCGUUAUCCGGAAUUAUUGGGCGUAAAGCGCGCGUAGCGGUUUUUUAAGUCUGAUGUGAAAGCCCACGGCUCAACCGUGGAGGGUCAUUGGAAACUGGAAAACUUGAGUGCAGAAGAGGAAAGUGGAAUUCCAUGUGUAGCGGUGAAAUGCGCAGAGAUAUGGAGGAACACCAGUGGCGAAGGCGACUUUCUGGUCUGUAACUGACGCUGAUGUGCGAAAGCGUGGGGAUCAAACAGGAUUAGAUACCCUGGUAGUCCACGCCGUAAACGAUGAGUGCUAAGUGUUAGGGGGUUUCCGCCCCUUAGUGCUGCAGCUAACGCAUUAAGCACUCCGCCUGGGGAGUACGACCGCAAGGUUGAAACUCAAAGGAAUUGACGGGGACCCGCACAAGCGGUGGAGCAUGUGGUUUAAUUCGAAGCAACGCGAAGAACCUUACCAAAUCUUGACAUCCUUUGACAACUCUAGAGAUAGAGCCUUCCCCUUCGGGGGACAAAGUGACAGGUGGUGCAUGGUUGUCGUCAGCUCGUGUCGUGAGAUGUUGGGUUAAGUCCCGCAACGAGCGCAACCCUUAAGCUUAGUUGCCAUCAUUAAGUUGGGCACUCUAAGUUGACUGCCGGUGACAAACCGGAGGAAGGUGGGGAUGACGUCAAAUCAUCAUGCCCCUUAUGAUUUGGGCUACACACGUGCUACAAUGGACAAUACAAAGGGCAGCGAAACCGCGAGGUCAAGCAAAUCCCAUAAAGUUGUUCUCAGUUCGGAUUGUAGUCUGCAACUCGACUACAUGAAGCUGGAAUCGCUAGUAAUCGUAGAUCAGCAUGCUACGGUGAAUACGUUCCCGGGUCU
RNAcentral lists this ribosomal RNA (1371 nucleotides) under uncultured bacterium. RNAcentral describes it as "bacterial SSU rRNA". It matches the Rfam family "Bacterial small subunit ribosomal RNA", at positions 28 to 1381 of the family's 1533-position model. The record is from RNAcentral.